AACGUAGGAGGCGAGCGUUAUCCGGAAUUACUGGGCGUAAAGGGCAAGUAGGCGGUAGGCCAAGUUGGGCGUGACAAAUCCCGGCUUAACUGGGAGGGGUCGUCCAAAACUGGCCAACUCGAGGGCAGGAGAGGUAAGUGGAAUUCCUAGUGUAGCGGUGGAAUGCUCAGAUAUUAGGAAGAACACCAGUGGCGAAGGCGACUUACUGGCCUGUACCUGACGCUGAGAGGCGAAAGCUAGGGGAGCGAACGGGCUUAGAUACCCCGGUAGUCCUAGCUGUAAACGUUGGAUACUGGGUAUUGGGGGGUCAAAUUCUCUCAGUGCCGAAGCAAACGCGUUAAGUAUCCCGCCUGGGGACUACGGCCGCAAGGUUA
RNAcentral lists this ribosomal RNA (374 nucleotides) under uncultured prokaryote. Its description in RNAcentral is "bacterial SSU rRNA". It matches the Rfam family "Bacterial small subunit ribosomal RNA", at positions 524 to 896 of the family's 1533-position model. The record is from RNAcentral.